UACGUAGGGUGCGAGCGUUGUCCGGAAUCACUGGGCGUAAAGGGCGCGUAGGUGGCGUCGCAAGUCGACGGUGAAAGCUCGACGCUCAACGUCGAGUCGGCCGUCGAGACUGCGAGGCUUGAGCACUGUAGAGGCAGAUGGAAUUCCGGGUGUAGCGGUGGAAUGCGUAGAGAUCCGGAAGAACACCGGUGGCGAAGGCGGUCUGCUGGGCAGUUGCUGACACUGAGGCGCGACAGCGUGGGGAGCAAACAGG
This 253-nucleotide ribosomal RNA is filed under the name uncultured bacterium. RNAcentral's name for it is "partial 16S ribosomal RNA". It matches the Rfam family "Bacterial small subunit ribosomal RNA", at positions 524 to 776 of the family's 1533-position model. The record is from RNAcentral.